RNAcentral lists this non-coding RNA (21 nucleotides) under Caenorhabditis elegans. The record is from RNAcentral. Lineage: Eukaryota; Metazoa; Nematoda; Chromadorea; Rhabditida; Rhabditidae.
UCACAAGGACAGGCAAUAUUA